RNAcentral lists this ribosomal RNA (213 nucleotides) under Shigella sp. FC1967. RNAcentral's name for it is "partial 23S ribosomal RNA". It matches the Rfam family "Bacterial large subunit ribosomal RNA", at positions 2511 to 2720 of the family's 2925-position model. Lineage: Bacteria; Pseudomonadati; Pseudomonadota; Gammaproteobacteria; Enterobacterales; Enterobacteriaceae. The record is from RNAcentral.
GCGGUGUUUGGCACCUCGAUGUCGGCUCAUCACAUCCUGGGGCUGAAGUAGGUCCCAAGGGUAUGGCUGUUCGCCAUUUAAAGUGGUACGCGAGCUGGGGUUUAGAACGUCGUGAGACAGUUCGGUCCCUAUCUGCCGUGGGGCGUUGGAAGAUUGAGAGGGGGUUGCUCCUAGUACGAGAGGACCGGAGUGAACGCACCACUGGUGUUCGGG